AUUUCUGGGAAGUGCGGAGCCACGCAGGUGAGCUGGAAGGAGCUGGAGCUCUGGGAUUUUGGGAUUUGGAAAUUCAGGGAUUCGGGGAUUUGGGGUCUCAGGAAUUCGGUGGCCCCUUGGAUCCUCAGUGGCCACAUCCCAUAUUCUGUGGAAUGUUUGAAUUCCUUGUUGAACCACCCUAGGACAUCGCCCACUCUGGGAUUUGGGGAUUCGGGGAUUCCAGGAUUCAGGGUUUUUGGGAUUUGGGGAUUCGGGGAUUCCAGGAUUCAGAGAUUCUGGGAUUUGGGGAUUCCAGGAUUCAGAGAUUCUGGGAUUUGGGGAUUCCAGGAUUCCAGGAUUCAGGGUUUCUGGGAUUUGGGAAUUCCAGGAUUCCAGGAUUCCAGGAUUCCAGGAUUCAGAGAUUCUGGGAUUUGGGGAUUCCAGGAUUCAGAGAUUCUGGGAUUUGGGGAUUUGGGGAUUCCAGGAUUCAGGGUUUCUGGGAUUUGGGGAUUCCAGGAUUCAGAGAUUCUGGGAUUCGGGGAUUCCAGGAUUCAGGGUUUCUGGGAUUUGGGGAUUCCAGGAUUCAGAGAUUCUGGGACUUGGGGAUUUGGGAUUUGGGGAUUCCAGGAUUCCAGGAUUCAGAGAUUCUGGGAUUUGGGGAUUCCAGGAUUCAGAGAUUCUGGGAUUUGGGGAUUCCAGGAUUCAGAGAUUCUGGGAUUUGGGGAUUUGGGAUUCGGGGAUUCCAGGAUUCAGAGAUUCUGGGAUUUGGGGAUUUCGGGAUUUGAGGUUUCUGGGAUUUGGGGAUUCCAGGAUUCAGAGAUUCUGGGAUUUGGGGAUUCCAGGAUUCAGAGAUUCUGGGAUUUGGGGAUUUGGGGAUUCCAGGAUUCCAGGAUUCAGAGAUUCUGGGAUUUGGGGAUUCCAGGAUUCAGAGAUUCUGGGACCUGGGGAUUUGGGAUUUGGGGAUUCCAGGAUUCAGAGAUUCUGGGAUUUGGGGAUUUCAGGAUUUGGGGUUUCUGGGAUUUGGGGAUUCCAGAAUUUUGGGAUUCAGGGUUUCUGGGAUUUGGGGAUUCUGGGAUGUGGGGAUUUGGGGAUUCCUGGAUUCAGGGUUUCUGGGAUUUUGGGAUUCCAGGAUUUUGGGAUUCAGAGAUUCUGGGAUUUGGGGAUUCCAAGAUUCAGGCUUCCUGGGAUUUGGGGAUUUGGGGAUUCCUGGAUUCAGGGUUUCUGGGAUUUGGGGAUUCCAGGAUUCAGGGUUUCUGGGAUUUGGGAAUUCCAGGAUUCGAGGGAUCUAUGAUUUGGGGAUUUGGGGAUUCCAGGAUUCAAGGAUUUCUUGGGGAUUGCAGAUUUUGGGGUUCGGGGUUUCUGGGAUUGUGGAUCUUGGGAUACUGGGAUUCCAGGAUUUGGGGGUUUUGUGAUUUGGGGAUGUUGAUAUCCAGGAAUUCAAAGGUUUGUGGAUUCUGGGAUUUGGGGUUUCUGUGA
RNAcentral lists this long non-coding RNA (1455 nucleotides) under Cyanistes caeruleus (blue tit). RNAcentral's name for it is "lncRNA (ENSCCEG00000003544.1)". Lineage: Eukaryota; Metazoa; Chordata; Aves; Passeriformes; Paridae. The record is from RNAcentral.